Long non-coding RNA from Cyprinodon tularosa, 1341 nucleotides. RefSeq lists it as uncharacterized. NCBI's taxonomy places the organism in Eukaryota, Metazoa, Chordata, Actinopteri, Cyprinodontiformes, Cyprinodontidae. The record is from RefSeq and is a predicted model, not a curated record. The transcript is spliced from 2 exons.
UCACGGACUAAGACUGGUAGUUGGUUCCGCAGGAGAGGAGCCUGAUGAUAUUUCAUAGUAUUUCUAUCUGUUUGCAGGACCGCACUUAAACCCCAGUGUAAUCCAUAACUUCUAUGACAACAUUGGGUUCCUUGGUCCCGUCCCACCCAAACCCAAAGACCCAGGGAGUAAGAUUGUGAAGCCCAGCGCGGAGCAAGAGGAGGACGAGGGCACCCAGUGGAACUGCACAGCCUGCACCUUCCUCAACCACCCCGCCCUCAACCGCUGUGAACAGUGCGAGUUCCCGCGGAACUUCUGAGCCAACGGGCGCGUCGCCCUUCCUCUGCACAACUGAUGUCUCCCAGAGCAGAGCAGACUUUUUGUUUUCCUUCGCUUUUUCGGAGAGGAAAGCGAUAAGAGAAAGCGGACAGCACACGGCCUACUUUUCUCGGUUCUUCCUCUAAGUUUGUAGUAACGCUGUCCGGCGAAGGCCCGACCACUCAGUGGGAUCGUAGCUCACCUUGGAGGCUGGGACGGUUCCCCUGCUCUGCUCGCUGGGGGACACUUCACUCCGGAUACUCUGCUGCUUCCACUCACAGUAUUACGAGCGUGGCCCUGCAGUGGCAGCGCACGUGUGCCCGCAUGCACAAACAAUCCCCGUGCCGGUGUGCCUUUACCCCCUGAUUGCAUAUUUGAGAGUUUGGUUUUUUUUCAGUUCCUCUGUGAUGGCCUGACCUGGUAAAGGGACGUGUGCUCAGCCACUGAAGGAAACACAAGAAGAAAAAAGGGACUGUCUCACCAGCGCCCCCUCUCUGUCCUCUUUGUCACGACUCGGUGAAAACAUGGAAAAACAAGUUGCAUGCUUUGUGUACAGUACGUCAAGCAGAAGCUCUCCUCGAGCUCUUUGCUGUACAGAAUUUUAGACUGUUGCUUUUAAACCUUUUCUCCUCACACUAUGAAUCGCUCGUUUCCUGUAAGUAUAGCUCUAUAGACUUUUUAUCAGCUACUUUUGUCUCUGUUUCCUCAAACAGACAAGCACCAUUUUUUUUUUUUUUUUAAAGCUUUUUACUUGAUACCUGUGAGAAGCCGAAGCUUUGCAGAAGGAGACGAGCAGAGCUGGUAAAACGCUCACAGUAAUCAUGAAGCUACACGUGUCGGUCCGUUCAGAUGCUUGUCUAUUUGCCGGGUGUACGAUCUGUUAAUGUAAAGGCGGUGGAGAAGUUUUUGUUGUUUUUUGUUUUGUUCUUCAGGACAUAUUAGAGACUUUCUGGGGUUUUUUGGGGGUGGAGAUGCUGGGUUAAAGAAAAGAAAAAAAAGACAAACUGCCAUCCUAUCUGACAACUGGAAUGUAGGAUUGAUGUU